Molecule: ribosomal RNA, 244 nt
Filed under: uncultured bacterium
Lineage: Bacteria
Description: partial 16S ribosomal RNA
Rfam family: Bacterial small subunit ribosomal RNA
Source: RNAcentral
GUAUGGAGCAAGCGUUAUCCGGAUUUACUGGGUGUAAAGGGAGCGUAGGCGGCCAGACAAGUCUGAUGUGAAAGGCUGGGGCUCAACCCCAGGACUGCAUUGGAAACUGUGAGGCUAGAGUGUCGGAGAGGCAGGCGGAAUUCCUAGUGUAGCGGUGAAAUGCGUAGAUAUUAGGAGGAACACCAGUGGCGAAGGCGGCCUGCUGGACGAUGACUGACGCUGAGGCUCGAAAGCGUGGGGAGCA